Molecule: unclassified non-coding RNA, 410 nt
Filed under: Hevea brasiliensis (rubber tree)
Lineage: Eukaryota; Viridiplantae; Streptophyta; Magnoliopsida; Malpighiales; Euphorbiaceae
Source: RNAcentral
GGGAAGCUCUACACGUAUUUUCCUUUGUAUACUUCAACAAUUGCUUUUAUAGAGUCAAAUUCGACUUGAUACGAUGACGAUCAAUCCGGAGAGUAUUACAUCGUCAAGCGACGGCAAUAACAACCUCCGAAGGCGGCGUAGCGGCGGCGGCGGCGGUGAUAGAUCUGUGAAUGAUGUGACGGAGUUGGAUUCGAGCUCUGUGGAUGCUUCGAGUAGCUCGGAUGAUGUAACGAGUGACGUCAUGGAUGGAAGUGGAAACGGAGGAUUGGAUAGGGUGAGUGAGGCUGUGAGUACGACGAUUGGGAAGAUUAGUGAUGGAGAUGGAAUUCAGGAGGAGCAGAGGAAAGCGAAUGAAACGACGCCGUUGAAGUAUGUUUAUAGAGCGUCGGCACCGGCUCACCGGCGGAACA